RNAcentral lists this long non-coding RNA (314 nucleotides) under Homo sapiens (human). Its description in RNAcentral is "non-protein coding lnc-SNN-1:7". Lineage: Eukaryota; Metazoa; Chordata; Mammalia; Primates; Hominidae. The record is from RNAcentral.
CCCAAUUGGUGCAGGUACCUGGAACUAAAUCAAAACAAAGGUUGGGGGCUCUAUGCAAACAGUCCUCACAGGAUAGGAAGCUCCAGGAAGGGUGAGUGAUGGAGAGGGGUGGGCACCUCUGGGCAGCAGCCCCCUGCCCAGGGCACCUCAGUCACAGGGUGGGAGCACUGUGCAGAGAAGGGGUCCCUGAGGGUAGGAAAGAUUCACCUGCAGCUUCCACACCUUCAGGGCAGAUGCGACAGCUCACUACAGCCAAACAAAACUGAGGUCACAACUCUUGCAGAGCACUGUUGAUAUUCACAAUAGCCAAAAAG